Molecule: long non-coding RNA, 110 nt
Organism: Thalassophryne amazonica
Lineage: Eukaryota; Metazoa; Chordata; Actinopteri; Batrachoidiformes; Batrachoididae
Exons: 3
Source: RefSeq, a predicted model, not a curated record
GAUUAAAUGCCCUCUCACAGUGAACACUGUCUUUCAGGCACUGGUGUGAGCAAAUAGUUGUAGCAACAGGUGUACAAGGCAUUAGAGGCAGCUACGAUUCUAUGUGUUUU